This 512-nucleotide ribosomal RNA is filed under the name Salmonella enterica. RNAcentral's name for it is "partial 23S ribosomal RNA". It matches the Rfam family "Bacterial large subunit ribosomal RNA", at positions 2230 to 2741 of the family's 2925-position model. Lineage: Bacteria; Pseudomonadati; Pseudomonadota; Gammaproteobacteria; Enterobacterales; Enterobacteriaceae. The record is from RNAcentral.
GACCCGUAAUCCGGGUUGCGGACAGUGUCUGGUGGGUAGUUUGACUGGGGCGGUCUCCUCCUAAAGAGUAACGGAGGAGCACGAAGGUUGGCUAAUCCUGGUCGGACAUCAGGAGGUUAGUGCAAUGGCAUAAGCCAGCUUGACUGCGAGCGUGACGGCGCGAGCAGGUGCGAAAGCAGGUCAUAGUGAUCCGGUGGUUCUGAAUGGAAGGGCCAUCGCUCAACGGAUAAAAGGUACUCCGGGGAUAACAGGCUGAUACCGCCCAAGAGUUCAUAUCGACGGCGGUGUUUGGCACCUCGAUGUCGGCUCAUCACAUCCUGGGGCUGAAGUAGGUCCCAAGGGUAUGGCUGUUCGCCAUUUAAAGUGGUACGCGAGCUGGGUUUAGAACGUCGUGAGACAGUUCGGUCCCUAUCUGCCGUGGGCGCUGGAGAACUGAGGGGGGCUGCUCCUAGUACGAGAGGACCGGAGUGGACGCAUCACUGGUGUUCGGGUUGUCAUGCCAAUGGCACUGC